GAUGUGGUGUAAUGGCAGCACGUAUCGUUGUGGCUUGGCCUCCUGGCCUCACAACCUCCGAUACAAUCGCGGUUCGAUUCCGCGCAUCGCCA
This 92-nucleotide transfer RNA is filed under the name Ramalina farinacea. Its description in RNAcentral is "tRNA-His". It matches the Rfam family "tRNA". Rfam says of the family: Transfer RNA (tRNA) molecules are approximately 80 nucleotides in length. Lineage: Eukaryota; Fungi; Ascomycota; Lecanoromycetes; Lecanorales; Ramalinaceae. The record is from RNAcentral.